GGUGCUAUAGUGUAGUGGUAAUCACUUGGGAUUCUGAUGCAUUUCAUGCACGACUUCAUCUUCCCAAAACCCAGGUUCAAGCCCUGGUAGCACCU
Molecule: transfer RNA, 95 nt
Filed under: Grifola frondosa (maitake)
Lineage: Eukaryota; Fungi; Basidiomycota; Agaricomycetes; Polyporales; Grifolaceae
Rfam family: tRNA
About the family: Transfer RNA (tRNA) molecules are approximately 80 nucleotides in length. Their secondary structure includes four short double-helical elements and three loops (D, anti-codon, and T loops). Further hydrogen bonds mediate the characteristic L-shaped molecular structure. tRNAs have two regions of fundamental functional importance: the anti-codon, which is responsible for specific mRNA codon recognition, and the 3' end, to which the tRNAs corresponding amino acid is attached (by aminoacyl-tRNA synthetases). tRNAs cope with the degeneracy of the genetic code in two manners: having more than one tRNA (with a specific anti-codon) for a particular amino acid; and 'wobble' base-pairing, i.e. permitting non-standard base-pairing at the 3rd anti-codon position.
Source: Rfam by way of RNAcentral